Molecule: ribosomal RNA, 494 nt
Filed under: uncultured bacterium
Lineage: Bacteria
Description: partial 16S ribosomal RNA
Rfam family: Bacterial small subunit ribosomal RNA
Source: RNAcentral
AUUGAACGCUGGCGGCAUGCUUUACACAUGCAAGUCGAACGGCAGCGGGGUGGUUCUUGCUUCUCUGCCGGCGAGUGGCGACUGGGUGAGUCAUACAUCGGCUCGCGUCGAGAUGAGGGGGAUAUCCACCCGCUAGGGUGGCUACUACCGCAUAACUCCUGAUGCAUAGAGCUGGGGACCUAGGUAUCGGCCUUGCGCUUUUUGUCCCGCCGAUGUCGGUUUAGCUUGUUGGUGUGGUAAAGGCUCACUAAGGCGAAGAUCUGUAGCGGGUCUGUGAGGAGGAUCCGCCGCACGGGGACUGAGACACGGCCCAGGCUCCUGAGGGAGGCAGCAGUGGGGAAUGUUGGACAAUGGGGGCAACCCUGAUCCAGCCAUGCCGCGUGUAUGGAGAAGGCCUUAGGGGUGGAAAGAACGUUUGUUAGGGAAGAAAAGUCAGCGGUUAAUAAGGGCUGAGAGUGACGGUACCGAAAGAAUAAGCACCGGCUAACUACGUG